Molecule: ribosomal RNA, 494 nt
Filed under: uncultured bacterium
Lineage: Bacteria
Description: partial 16S ribosomal RNA
Rfam family: Bacterial small subunit ribosomal RNA
Source: RNAcentral
GACGAACGCUGGCGGCGUGCUUAACACAUGCAAGUCGAACGGUGAAGCGCCUUCCUUUUUGGUGGGUGUGGAUGAGUGGCGAACGGGUGAGUAACACGUGAGUAACCUGCCCCCUUCUUCUGGAUAACCGCAUGAAAGUGUGGCUAAUACGGGAUAUUCUGGGUCUGUCGCAUGAUGGGUCUGGGAAAGAUAUUGUUUCGGUGGGGGAUGGGCUCGCGGCCUAUCAGCUUGUUGGUGGGGUGAUGGCCUACCAAGGCGGUGACGGGUAGCCGGCCUGAGAGGGUGGACGGUCACACUGGGACUGGGACACGGCCCAGACUCCUACGGGGGGCAGCAGUGGGGAAUAUUGGACAAUGGGCGCAAGCCUGAUGCAGCGACGCCGCGUGAGGGAUGGAGGCCUUCGGGUUGUGAACCUCUUUCGCCAGUGAAGCAGGCCUGCCUCGUUUGUGGGUGGGUUGACGGUAGCUGGAUAAGAAGCGCCGGCUAACUACGUG